UGAGUCAUCAAUGCCCGCUGCUGCUUC
Molecule: small RNA, 27 nt
Filed under: Bombyx mori (domestic silkworm)
Lineage: Eukaryota; Metazoa; Arthropoda; Insecta; Lepidoptera; Bombycidae
Description: ovarian small RNA-32260
Source: RNAcentral